GACACUUUGGCCGAGUGGUUAAGGCGAUGCCCUGCUAUCAACACGAUAUAGGCAUUGGGGUCUCCCCGCGUGUGUUCGAAUCGCACAGGUGUCG
Non-coding RNA from Roridomyces roridus, 94 nucleotides. NCBI's taxonomy places the organism in Eukaryota, Fungi, Basidiomycota, Agaricomycetes, Agaricales, Mycenaceae. The record is from the annotation of a GenBank genome assembly.